RNA transcript from Malus domestica (apple), 510 nucleotides. RefSeq lists it as uncharacterized. Lineage: Eukaryota; Viridiplantae; Streptophyta; Magnoliopsida; Rosales; Rosaceae. The record is from RefSeq and is a predicted model, not a curated record.
CCCAACUCUCUCUCUCUCUCAAGUUUGAUUUCUCAGAACAACAAACUUGUUCGCUGGGUGUAGAUGAUCGAGGCCAAGAACCAGGCCUUGUUCGCUGGGCACCUCGUUGAGCUCGAGCUCGCCGACGGUUACUUUGAAUGUGCUGGACUAGUCUCUUUGGUGCAUGCAGCUUAUGCAUGCCGUUGAAAGGUCCGGACUAGUUUCUCUCUCACUGACAAAUACCCAGGAGUUGAAGAGGAAUGAUGGGCUUUAUAUAUGGAUAUUAGUGAGCAUAUUUCUCUGUAAUAUUACAAAGAGAUUUUCAUGUCGCUAAAAUCAUACUUUGAGCGGCAACUAGCAAAUAUACCUUCAGUAGAUCCAACUUACACGAAUCCAAAAAAUGGCAGAUGCCAUACAUACCUAAUCUUUAGGUAAAAUUAGUAAAAGUGCCCGUGCGAUAUUGCGGGUGUCUCAAACGUUUUGAAAAUAUAUACAUAAGUUCAUCGUUGUCAAGAGAUUGACCGUGUUCAA